RNAcentral lists this transfer RNA (77 nucleotides) under Tsukamurella tyrosinosolvens. RNAcentral describes it as "tRNA-Pro(ggg)". It matches the Rfam family "tRNA". Rfam says of the family: Transfer RNA (tRNA) molecules are approximately 80 nucleotides in length. Their secondary structure includes four short double-helical elements and three loops (D, anti-codon, and T loops). The record is from RNAcentral. Lineage: Bacteria; Bacillati; Actinomycetota; Actinomycetes; Mycobacteriales; Tsukamurellaceae.
CGGGCUGUGGCGCAGCUUGGUAGCGCGUCUCACUGGGGGUGAGAAGGUCGCAGGUUCGAAUCCUGUCAGCCCGACCA